GAUGAAGAACGUAGCGAAAUGCGAUAAGUAGUGUGAAUUGCAGAAUUCAGUGAAUCAUCGAAUCUUUGAACGCACAUUGCGCCCUUUGGUAUUCCUUAGGGCAUGCCUGUUCGAGCGUCAUUUAACCCCUCAAGCUCAGCUUGGUGUUGGGCGUCCUGUCCCCCCCCGGGGGACUCGCCUCAAAUCGAUUGGCGGCCGGUACGUUGGCUUCGAGCGCAGCAGAAACGCGAACUCGGGCCCGUCGUAUUGGCUCCCAGAAGCUAUCUUCACAAUUUUGACCUCGGAUCAGGUAGGGAUACCCGCUGAACUUAAGCAUAUCAAUAAGCGGAGGA
Molecule: unclassified non-coding RNA, 332 nt
Filed under: soil metagenome
Description: partial contains 5.8S ribosomal RNA, internal transcribed spacer 2, and large subunit ribosomal RNA
Rfam family: 5.8S ribosomal RNA (bases 1-120)
Source: RNAcentral